UAUAUGUGUGGUUUUCUUAUU
This 21-nucleotide non-coding RNA is filed under the name Caenorhabditis elegans. The record is from RNAcentral. Lineage: Eukaryota; Metazoa; Nematoda; Chromadorea; Rhabditida; Rhabditidae.